This 585-nucleotide ribosomal RNA is filed under the name uncultured bacterium. Its description in RNAcentral is "partial 16S ribosomal RNA". It matches the Rfam family "Bacterial small subunit ribosomal RNA", at positions 355 to 935 of the family's 1533-position model. The record is from RNAcentral.
UGGGGAAUUUUGGACAAUGGGCGAAAGCCUGAUCCAGCAAUGCCGCGUGUGUGAAGAAGGCCUUCGGGUUGUAAAGCACUUUUGUCCGGAAAGAAAUCCUUGGCUCUAAUACAGUCGGGGGAUGACGGUACCGGAAGAAUAAGCACCGGCUAACUACGUGCCAGCAGCCGUGGUAAUACGUAGGGUGCAAGCGUUAAUCGGAAUUACUGGGCGUAAAGCGUGCGCAGGCGGUUUGCUAAGACCGAUGUGAAAUCCCCGGGCUCAACCUGGGAACUGCAUUGGUGACUGGCAGGCUAGAGUAUGGCAGAGGGGGGUAGAAUUCCACGUGUAGCAGUGAAAUGCGUAGAGAUGUGGAGGAAUACCGAUGGCGAAGGCAGCCCCCCUGGGCCAAAUACUGACGCUCAUGCACGAAAGCGUGGGGAGCAAACAGGAUUAGAUACCCUGGUAGUCCACGCCCUAAAACGAUGUCAACUAGUUGUUGGGGAUUCAUUUCCUUAGUAACGUAGCUAACGCGUGAAGUUGACCGCCUGGGGAGUACGGUCGCAAGAUUAAAACUCAAAUGAAUUGACGGGGUCAUAGCUGUUU